This 609-nucleotide ribosomal RNA is filed under the name Ostorhinchus taeniophorus (reef-flat cardinalfish). RNAcentral describes it as "partial 16S ribosomal RNA". The stretch from base 1 to 424 matches the Rfam family "Bacterial large subunit ribosomal RNA", at positions 727 to 1298 of the family's 2925-position model. The record is from RNAcentral. Lineage: Eukaryota; Metazoa; Chordata; Actinopteri; Kurtiformes; Apogonidae.
GAGCUACUCCAAGACAGCCUCUAAGGGCGCACCCGUCUCUGUGGCAAAAGAGUGGGAAGAUCUUUGAGUAGGGGUGACAGACCUACCGAACUUGGUUAUAGCUGGUUGCCCAGGAAAUGAAUAGGAGUUCAGCCUUUUGUCCCCUCUCCGCACAUUCAAUCGAUUCUUAUCCUCGAAGCGCCUGAGUAAGACAAUGGAGUUAGUCAAAGGGGGAACAGCCCCUUUGAAAAAGAUACAACUUUACCAGAAGGGUUAAGAUCAUAACUCUCUACAAGGGAAUGUGUUCUAGUUGGCCUAAGAGCAGCCACCCAUACAGAAAGCGUUAAAGCUCAAGCACCUCCCCCUCCCCUAUUAUCCAGACCAUACAAUCUUACCCCCCUUAUCAUACUGAGCCCUCCCAUACCUCUAUGGGAGAGAUUAUGCUAAAAUGAGUAAUAAGAGACCAUUGAAUCUCUCCCUGCACAAGUGUACAUCGGAACGAACCAACACCGAAAACUAACGGCCCCAAAAACAGAGGGCACUGAAAUACAAUGACCGACCACGAGAAAACCAUCCACCUCGCAUGAACCGUUAACCUUACACUAGACUGCCCACAAGGAAAGACUAAAA